Dermacentor silvarum is the source of this 2359-nucleotide long non-coding RNA. RefSeq lists it as uncharacterized. The transcript has 2 exons. NCBI's taxonomy places the organism in Eukaryota, Metazoa, Arthropoda, Arachnida, Ixodida, Ixodidae. The record is from RefSeq and is a predicted model, not a curated record.
CUAAGACCCAAAUGACAACGCUGAUUCCCGCAAACAUUGGCUCUACCAUUGAUUUAGCAGCACAAGAAAAGAAUCUCGAAUGCGUAACUGUGGAAAGUGUUUCAUUGCGCGGCAACUCUUCUUGGAACAGAUGCUUGGCGUAGUCAUGCCCCCCUCAAACCAAGUAAAAUUUAUGUGCGUUCAAUGCACGAUAAACGCUUCUGUUUGCGCGUUGACUGCCGAAACUGCCUUUUGCGUCAACGUAAACCGGGGGUACAACAUGAUGUCUCGGCACUCUCGAUUUCGCCCUGUUGAUUUCUGCCAUGUUUGCAUUUUGAGUCAAUCAUAAAAGGCGCUGACCACCUUAGUGAGUCAAUCGGAGCUGGCAUGAUGGCGAAUUUGACAAUAUGACGGAAUUCGACUGUGUCGAGUGUUGUCCAGAAUAGCGCCCCCCUGUUUUCAAUGUAGUUUAAAUGAUAGAGUGGUUGUAAGAAAAGGCCCUGACCAGUCGUAAAACCAUUCUUAGCAAGUGCGGCGACCAGUUACAAACGUGGCAGAGAAUUCUCGACAGCGAGAAGUUUAAGGAAUUCAAUCUUUUGGUUUGGUCUUGUUUUCUUCCAUCUUCAUUCGUGUACACACGAGCAGCAAUUGCGUGUGAUAAAUGAGGUGUGUCGAUAGAGAUACUGUGCUGCUUAGAUAAAACCUGUGUGAUAUGUUCACGUCCAUGGAGUACUGACCUUGGGUCCACCAUUUUUGCCUCAGGGGUUUCGGCGCUGGAGGGGACAGCCAAGUCCGAUGUGUCUUUCGUUUUGUUUGUCGUGUUUUUAGCGCCUUUAGCGGGUGGCUAGUCGUUAUUGCAUAAGUUUUAUUGUGUGCUGAAGAUAUUGUAGAAGCGCUGCUCUGGGUUUUGUUUCGUGAGAUUUUGUUGCUUUUGCAUCUUCACCACCGUCUACUAUUGUGAUGUCGCGAGCCCCGUCAAUAGUUAUUUCGCCAAGUUUCCCAUUCUCCUGCAACGCACUUCGAUAUUUCAUGAAUGCCUCGACGGAUGACUGUCAAGAAGGUGGCUAGCAAGAGCAGCCUCUUCGCCAGCGGCACACCCGUGCGCAUCUGCAAAAAUGAGAAAUUAGGGUAGACUCCAAGCUAUCAAUACUGUACUGGCAGUUCACAGGCCAGCUUUGCCUGUAGCUGUUUUCUAGUGGGUGAGAGCCUACUGAUCGCGAAAUGGAGGUAAACAAAUGGAACAUAACGCGCCACCGACCUUCCAGUACCAGAGGUUCAAUGUCACAGCUUUUCCACGAGAAUGCUGGCUAAAAGCUUGAUCAAACAAUUGAUAGAGACAGCUUAUACCCGGUGUAAAGCCAAUAUGCAUAUACGAAACCGCCGAUGAGGCUUUUGCGCAAGCACGAACGUCAUUAUGUAGUGGGAAUCAUACCCGAAGCAGUGGCUUGGUAUGUUAACUGCCAAAUGGUUCAGUAGUGUCGAGACCUGUGACGAUAGCUAAUUACGAGGUCGUCUUCUCGAGUGUAAUUAUUGUUUGUUUAACCAAGAACCCAGUACGGCCGAGCAACUUCCUUGUACAUUGUUCGUGCUAUUUGAUGAAGAACCGAAUAAUUUGUUAGUCUGCAACUACCUCUGGCAAAAACAAAAGUUCCGUCGCGUAUCGGUGUGAGCUGGUCAGCAUACUAAGACAAUAGUAGUGCUUGUAUGUGCCUGCAAAACACAGUAACGUAAUGUGGGUUGGCGUUUGACUUCUCCAGCAUUUCUUGAGCAAGGGAUUGGAUCUCGGACGCAAUCAAUUCCUGACCUUUAUGCCGCUACCAAGAUUUACCGUGAAGCAGUGUAAGAAGGGCGUAAUGCAGUUGAAAUGGUAUGAACGGGAUAAACCCCAUGUAGCUCUGCAAGAGAGACGCAUUGCUUUGUGUAUAGUUCAUCGAAACCUUUCCUUAGACAGCUGCCUACGCUGUCAACUCAUGUAGAGCUUUCUUGUGAUCCACUUCGAGCUUACGCACACUACUUGAGUCCUAUACUGGGUGUCGGCGACGUGGUUUUCAGGUGCUCAUGAUGCCCACGUCUAUGCUGCGCCAGGUUAGGAAUCUGCGCCACAGAUGUGUUCCUUUUGACAUUGACUCCAUCGUGUACUUUUCUCCUGCCUCUUCGCGCAACGAAUUGCUCAAGUGUCAAAGGUCAAGCAUCUUUUGUCGCGUAUACAGGCGGAGUGUCCGUCAAGUUCGUUCUCACACAUUCCAGCGUGAUUGCGUGAUGUCCGCGUUUGCGCCUUCGCAGCUUUUGUCUGUUUGCGUCUCAUCCCUGUUCCUUGAUUCCAUCUUUUGCAAAACCUUUGACGUAACAAUAAACCUUGGCGCCUUUCAAGCACAGCGUG